AGAAUGAACGUUGGCGGCGUGGAUUAGGCAUGCAAGUCGCGCGUGUACCCGCAAGGGGAAAGCGGCGUAAGGGACAGUAACACGUAGAUUACCUACCCUCGGAUUCGGGAUAGCUGCGGGAAACUGCAGGUAAUACCGAAUAACGUCUCCGGACCAAAGGUGUGAUUCCGUCCGAGGAUGGGUCUGCGUCCUAUUAGCUAGUUGGUGGGGUAAUGGCCUACCAAGGCAAUGAUGGGUAGUGGGUGUGAGAGCACGACCCGCGUCACUGGGACUGAGACACUGCCCAGACACCUACGGGUGGCUGCAGUCGAGGAUCUUCGGCAAUGGGCGCAAGCCUGACCGAGCGACGCCGCGUGCGGGAUGAAGGCCUUCGGGUUGUAAACCGCUGUCAGUGGGGAGAAAAGUGUACGGAGGUACUCCUUCGUAUUUGAUCUAUCCGCAGAGGAAGUGUGGGCUAAGUUCGUGCCAGCAGCCGCGGUAA
Molecule: ribosomal RNA, 481 nt
Filed under: uncultured bacterium
Lineage: Bacteria
Description: SSU rRNA
Rfam family: Bacterial small subunit ribosomal RNA
Source: RNAcentral